Mustela putorius furo (domestic ferret) is the source of this 3967-nucleotide long non-coding RNA. The record is from Ensembl. NCBI's taxonomy places the organism in Eukaryota, Metazoa, Chordata, Mammalia, Carnivora, Mustelidae.
AUGGCUUGUUGCCCUUCGCGAAGUGUCAGCAUGGAGGCCGCUGAGCCCCUAGAGGAGGGUCGCUCUGCCUGUUCCGAGGACUUGUCAGGGGGCUGUAGGGAGAAAGGAAAUUUGAUUUUUCUUCUGCUUUUGGUUCCCACGUCACCCCCCCACCCCGAACCCUCUGACCCUUCAGCCUGUAAGUUGUUGAUGGAAGGUCUCAUCUUCCGAGAGGUCCCCCUGCUGACUGGGGGCGCAGAGACGGCCGUGCUGGGCUCCACGCUGUCCCUGGGGCGUUCGCAGCGAGAGCAGCAGCGAGGGGCAGAGGCGCUGAGUCAGGGGAGGCCGCACGUGCGGAUCCCCCGAGCGGGAAGCACCCUCGGCGGGACGCGGCGGCAGAGAAAGCGUCUCGGCACCGGGCGGAGAGACGUGGGGAAAGACACGAACGGGGUUAGAGGAACAGAAAGAAAAAGAACCCAAAUAGGAGUCUUUUUUUUUUUUUUUAAAGAUUUUAUUAAUCUACUUGAGAGAGAGCGAGAGCGGGCGACAGCACAAGCAGCGGGAGGGUCGGAGGGAGAAGCAGGCUCCAUCCCGGGACCCGGACGGAGCCAGAGGCGGACGCUCGACCGACCCAGGGCUUCCCAAUGCCCAUUGCCCUGGGCUGUUAGGCUCAGGAACAGGCAGAGGGAGGGACCCCAGUGAAUCAAGAGCCCAGACCUUAUAAUUCUUGCUCAGUUAGUGAAACCGCUGUCUUCUAUCCUGGGGUAAUCAGCAUACACACCCAGCUUGUCAGGGACCCUAUUCUCUGCCUUAAGGGGCCCCAGAUGGGGCGGUGGUGUGAGGGUAGUGCUCAACUGGCAGAAAUGACCGCAGUGGGGUAGAAGAUCCCCCCACAGGGCCCGGCAGGGUGGGGGCUGCGGCAUCUGACAACCCUAACCGGCCGACUGGCCGCACUCGAUAGAAACAUGUUCUGUUGCAGUUCCAGAGGCUGGAAGUCCAAAGCCGAGGUGGGCAGGGCCGUGCUCCCCUGGAAGCUGCAGGGGAGCCUUGCGCAUCACCUUCUCUGCUCCCAGUGCCGGCCUGCAGUCCUGUGGUCACUUGGCCGUCCUCUCCUUGCACGCCUGAUCUAAGAAGGACUCUCGUUGACACAGGAGUCUCCCUAUUCCAGUAUGGGUUCAUCUCAACUCAGCCAGUUAUAUCUGCAAUGACCCUACUUCCAAAUAAGGUCAAAUUCACCGGGGGUUAGGACCUGGACAUAUCUCUUGGGCGACACAGUUCAACCCAGAUCGGGGGAGAUGGGAGACUGGCAGCAGGCGGGGGAACCGAGCUGCUGUGGGCGGGGGAGCCGUGGGAAAGGGGCAGCCGGGAGGCAGCAAGGCUGUUGGAUCCCAUGAAGACGCUGGUGUGAAGCCAUGGUUCCCCUGAGCACAGGCACAGAAGUGCCACAGGUGUCCAGGCAGGAGCAACAGCAUCGACAUGCGUCUCCUGGCUCUGGGCACUGAGGGAGUCUGGGGACAGUGGCCCCCAGCAGCAGUGAGCAUGUCCACGGCCGAGAACAGCUCUCCACCAGGAAGAACUGGGGCUCGGGGGAGAAACAGCCGCUCCAGGGCUGGAUCCCGGAGAGAGGAGGAGGAGCCUGGAAUAUUCUUUCCGCCAAAAAACCAAGAUGUGCCUCCGCCCGCUGGGGACACAGCAGAGCACAGAGGUCAGUUCUAAGGGCUCCGAGUACCAAGUCUAGGAUAGUGUGAGCCUCAACGUGGGUCUCCACCUCCCAAACCAAGUGGACACCCACCGGCCGGGGAGCGUGAAUAAAGCAAGACCGGCGGAGAGGAGGAAGCUUGCCUCGGGCUCCUUGAGUUCUGGUGCCGAGAGCAGCUCCGAGUGCAAGUGCCGCCCGGGCACCGUGUGCACGUCACCACUCCCCCCCGGGGGCCUUGGCUGGGAGAGGACAGAUCAGAGUCCACCAGGAAGGUCCUGGGGCUUCCUCCAGUUCGUGGAGCACAUGGCGGGUGUUCCGAGCUUACCUCCCACCCCAUUCCCCGUCCCUCCUGCCCACGAAUGCGUCGACACGUUGCCGUCUGAACAUUUCAGAGUUGGUGCGUUUCUGUGCACCCUCCCAAACCCAGCUGUCUUCUCCCGCGCCGGCCAAGGCCCACCCAGCACCUCCCAGGACAGCUGCAGGGGGGAGUUGCUCCCGACCCACAGGACAAGAGGGACACAUUCAGCCCGCGCCCAGGACCGACUCUUUAGAGCCCAGGAACUUGGCGCCAGAUCUAACGGAGUUGAAAUGCGGUCCUUGUGGUUCAGGCGGCUGCCAUCCUGCGGCUCCCCCCACCCCGCCCCACCUCCCCCCACCCCGCCCCGACCCUGGCUUCUGCAGACUGCCAGGGCCCUGCCGCCCGCCACCAUGGUGCUAGCUCUGUCCCCUUCCUCCCUGUUGGCAAGAUUUUACUAAGGAUAAUUUGGACCUCUAGAGACCUCUUUAGGACACUGAAGACCUCCCCAGACUGGUUCUUCCCGGACCUCUCUGUUCCCAAGCUCUACCACCACCAGCCCCCGCCUGUCCUUGGGUGUCCUUCAAACCCCAACCCCUCUCCACCCCCUCCACUCCACCCUCCGCCCCUGCGGCCACUCAAGCCCGAGGCUGCCUGCCCUCACUGGAGGCUCUCAGGGACACAGGGACCCUACCAGCAGACCCGUCAAGCUGGGAGGCUCAUUGGAAACCCUAUUUCAGCCCCUCAGAGGAGGCCGGCCCUCAGCACCCCAACCGAGCCGUAGUCCACAGCCCCCGUAAGAUUGCACAUGGGGCCAGAGAAAAUCUUGAGGUCUGUUCUAUCAACCUGGAUGAGAAGCAUUCUCCCUCAGGUGAGGCAGGAGAUCUCAAAUGGUCUCAUCUGCAGAAACACAAUUCAGGUAAAAACAGAAAGCGGGGGCUCUCUGCUCUUCCCCGUUCGACAGACAGCCACAUCUCCAGGUGCAGUGCCAGCCCCGUGCCCGAGACACAAUGGUGAAGGUCGGAGUGGACGGAUUUGGCCGUAGUGGGCGCCUGGUCACCAGGGCUGCUUUUAACUCUGGUAAAGUGGAUAUUGUCGCCAUCAAUGACCCUUUCAUGGAUCUCAACUACAUGGUCUGCAUGUUCCAGUAUGAUUCUACCCACGGUAAAUUCCACAGCACAGUCAAGGCUGAGAACGGGAAGCUUGUCAUCAAUGGGAAGUCCAUCGCCAUCUUCCAGGAGCGAGAUCCCGCCAACAUCAAAUGGGGCGAUGCUGGUGCUGAGUAUGUUGUGGAGUCCACUGGGGUCUUCACCACCAUGGAGAAGGCUGGGGCUCACUUGAAGGGGGGGGCCAAGAGGGUCAUCAUCUCUGCUCCUUCUGCUGAUGCCCCCAUGUUCGUGAUGGGUGUGAACCAUGAGAAGUAUGACAACUCCCUCAAGAUUGUCAGCAAUGGGGGCUCGUGGGUGGCUCAGUGGGUUGGGCCUCUGCCUUUGGCUCGGGUCAUGGUCCCAGGGUCCUGGGAUCGAGCCCAGCGUCGGGCUCUCUGCUCUGUGGGGAGUCUGCUUCUCCCUCUCUCUCUCUGCCUGCUUCUCUGUCUGCUUGUGAUCUCUGUCUGUCAAAUAAAUAAAUAAAUAAAUAAAUAAUCUUUUAAAAAAAGAUUGUCAGCAAUGCCUCCUGUACCACCAACUGCUUGGCUCCUCUGGCCAAGGUCAUCCAUGACAACUUCGGCCUUGUGGAGGGACUCGUGACCACCGUCCAUGCCAUCACUGCCAUCCAGAAGACUGUGGACGGCCCCUCUGGGAAGCUGUGGUGUGAUGGCUGAGGGGCUGCCCAGAACCUCAGCCCUGCUUCCACUGGUGCGGCUAAAGGCUGUAGGCAAGGUCAUCCCUGAGCUGAAUGGGAAGCUCACUGGCAUGGCCUUCCGUGUCCCCACCCCCAACGUGUCUGUUGUGGAUCUGACCUGCNNNNNNNNNNNNNNNNNNNNNNNNNNNNNN